UCAGAAUGAACGCUGGCGGCGUGCUUAACACAUGCAAGUCGAACGAGAAAGGGAUUGCUUGCAAUCCUGAGUAGAGUGGCGCACGGGUGAGUAACACGUAAAUAAUCUACCUUCAAGUUUGGGAUAACUGUUCGAAAGGGCAGCUAAUACCGGAUGAAGUUUUACCACAUAAGUGGUGUUAUGAAAGAUAGCCUAUCCUUGGAAGCUAUUGCUUGGAGAUGAGUUUGCGGACCAUUAGCUUGUUGGUGGGGUAAAGGCCUACCAAGGCUGCGAUGGUUAGCUGGUCUGAGAGGAUGAUCAGUCACACUGGAACUGGAACACGGUCCAGACUCCUACGGGAGGCAGCAGUGAGGAAUUUUGCGCAAUGGGGGAAACCCUGACGCAGCAACGCCGCGUGAGUGAAGAAGGCCUUUGGGUCNUAAAGCUCNUCAAUUGGGAAGAAAUUGUAAAUAUCCAAUAGGUAUUUACAUUGACGGUACC
This 480-nucleotide ribosomal RNA is filed under the name uncultured Desulfobacterales bacterium. RNAcentral describes it as "bacterial SSU rRNA". It matches the Rfam family "Bacterial small subunit ribosomal RNA", at positions 24 to 479 of the family's 1533-position model. Lineage: Bacteria; Pseudomonadati; Thermodesulfobacteriota; Desulfobacteria; Desulfobacterales. The record is from RNAcentral.